This 77-nucleotide transfer RNA is filed under the name Caulobacter sp. Its description in RNAcentral is "tRNA-His". It matches the Rfam family "tRNA". Rfam says of the family: Transfer RNA (tRNA) molecules are approximately 80 nucleotides in length. Their secondary structure includes four short double-helical elements and three loops (D, anti-codon, and T loops). Lineage: Bacteria; Pseudomonadati; Pseudomonadota; Alphaproteobacteria; Caulobacterales; Caulobacteraceae. The record is from RNAcentral. RNAcentral also lists the same sequence under 7 other names.
GCUGCCUUAGCUCAGUUGGUUAGAGCGCCGGUUUGUGGAACCGGAGGUCCUCAGUUCAAGCCUGAGAGGCAGUACCA